UAUUUAUUGGUGUAAGAAGCACAUGAGUUUUUGAUACUUAAAGAUGCAGUUUAAUUCUGCUAUAAAUAA
RNAcentral lists this transfer RNA (69 nucleotides) under Serratella sp. Liaoning-2019. RNAcentral's name for it is "tRNA-Gln". It matches the Rfam family "tRNA". From Rfam's summary of the family: Transfer RNA (tRNA) molecules are approximately 80 nucleotides in length. The record is from RNAcentral. Lineage: Eukaryota; Metazoa; Arthropoda; Insecta; Ephemeroptera; Ephemerellidae.